Molecule: small nuclear RNA, 190 nt
Filed under: Cephalotus follicularis
Lineage: Eukaryota; Viridiplantae; Streptophyta; Magnoliopsida; Oxalidales; Cephalotaceae
Description: U2 spliceosomal RNA
Rfam family: U2 spliceosomal RNA
About the family: U2 is a small nuclear RNA (snRNA) component of the spliceosome (involved in pre-mRNA splicing). Complementary binding between U2 snRNA (in an area lying towards the 5' end but 3' to hairpin I) and the branchpoint sequence (BPS) of the intron results the bulging out of an unpaired adenosine, on the BPS, which initiates a nucleophilic attack at the intronic 5' splice site, thus starting the first of two transesterification reactions that mediate splicing.
Source: Rfam by way of RNAcentral
AUACAUUUCACGGCCUUUUGGCUAAUAUCAAGUGUAGUAUUUGUUCUUACCAGUUUAAUAUCGGACAUGUGGAUCAUAGAUUCACACGAUAUUAAAUUAACUUUUUUAGGGUGAGAGCCCGUUACGGUAGCUUGCUGUCAGGGUUCUUGAGUGUUGUCCGUGAAUACUGUACGGGCUUGACGCAAUCCAC